This 164-nucleotide long non-coding RNA is filed under the name Aotus nancymaae (Ma's night monkey). Its description in RNAcentral is "lncRNA (ENSANAG00000038923.1)". Lineage: Eukaryota; Metazoa; Chordata; Mammalia; Primates; Aotidae. The record is from RNAcentral.
GAGAUUUUAGAGGAAGAAUGCAGUGACAUGAGACCAGAAUGAUGUGAGGUGAUGACAUCAACAUCAGAAUGCUGUUGCUAAGGAAACUCCAGCACCUCCUAGAACGUCUUUUGUGGAAUGGCACUUCACCGGGGCCCUUGGAUCACGUGCCACAUGUAUUCAAC